AACGAACGCUGGCGGUAUGCUUAACACAUGCAAGUCGAACGGACUAAUCAGGGCUUGCUCCGGUUAGUUAGUGGCAGACGGGUGAGUAACACGUGGGAAUCUGCCCAUUAGUACUGAAUUACUUUUAGAAAUAAAAGCUAAUACCGUAUAUUCACUACAGGCGACAGAUUUAUCGCUGAUGGAUGGGCCCGCGUCAGAUUAGGUAGUUGGUGAGGUAACGGCUCACCAAGCCGACGAUCUGUAGCUGGUCUGAGAGGAUGACCAGCCACACUGGGACUGAGACACGGCCCAGACUCCUACGGGAGGCAGCAGUGGGGAAUAUUGUACAAUGGGCGAAAGCCUGAUCCAGCCAUGCCGGGUGAGUGAUCAAGGCCCUAGGAUUGUAAAGCUCUUUUAGCAAGGACGAUAAUGACGUUACUUGCAGAAGAAGCCCCGGCUAACUCCGUG
Molecule: ribosomal RNA, 447 nt
Filed under: uncultured bacterium
Lineage: Bacteria
Description: partial 16S ribosomal RNA
Rfam family: Bacterial small subunit ribosomal RNA
Source: RNAcentral